AUUCAAGCAGAGAGAAAGUAGGACAGUGUUUGCCAUCACGGAGUACCAUGCGUGCCCUUUAACCUCACUGUAAUCACUAUAGAGGUGUAUCAGUAACCGCUGUCUAUUUCAGUGGGCCGUCGGCAUAGGGAGCUAUUAAUAGGACCGAUGAAUUCAUUGCUUAUAGUUGUAUAAGUUUACUGUUAGGCACACAACGCUCAACGCUGACGCUUACAAAGUCACUCUAUAUGGAAGGAUAAAUUAUAUACACUUUAGUGUGUGUGUGUGUCACUCAGAAGAAAAGGUGGAAGAAACCUGGGAUGAGUUCCCAAUUGCCGGAACCGGAGUAUACCUUCAAGAUACUGAUCAUAGGAGACUCCGGGGUUGGGAAGUCGGCCCUCCUCCUCCGGUUCACGGAGAACACGUACCUAGAGAGAUUCAACACCACGAUUGGAGUCGAUUUUAAAUUCAGAACGAUAUUUGUGGAAGACAAAGCUGUCAAACUUCAGAUCUGGGAUACAAGUGGACAAGAACGCUUCCGUGCAAUUACAUCCAGCUACUACAGGAACAUCCACGGCAUCAUCAUCAUGUACGACAUCACGAGUCAGACAUCAUUCAACAACAUAGAGAGGUGGAUUCAUCAGUGUGAACAGUACUCUACGGAAGGGGUCAACAAGAUGAUCGUGGGCAACAAGACGGACCUGGACAAGGACAGGGUAGUUCCGGAGAGCACAGCCAAGGAGUUUGCAGAAUGUCGUGGCAUGCCCUACCUGGAAACCAGCGUGAAGGAAAACAGUCAGGUGGACGACGCCUUUCGUAUCCUAGCGGAGGACAUCAUCAACAGCUGGGACAUGGUCACUGACAUAGAUGAAACAUGUGACCCAAAUAUAACGUUAUCUACUAACGGCCCGGUCAGGAAGCCCUGUUGUCGAGUUUGAUGGAACUUGUGAAUGUGUAUGAAUGAGGGGGGUGAAACUCCACCGGUGAUUCUUCUGUAUGGUAGAUGUGUUCGGCUGUAUGAGAGAGAAGUCUGAAACCGACUUGUGUGCGAUAGAUCUGACAAGAUAUGUUGAAUGUAGUAUUUCGUGGCAAGGAGUCUUGAGUUGCCGUUGAGUUUAUGUAAAUGUUCGGGAUAAACCUGUGUCUAAGUGGCCGCGAUCAGGAUCGAUGGCGAAAAUAAUAUACAAUGGUUGGUUGCUUUCGUAAAUAUACUGAACAUUAGAAAAGCACCACACUAAAAUGCACCGAGGAUACUCAGAUAUAAUGGGUGCAUUGCAGUCUGACGGGAUAUUUCGUAUUAUAUGGGUGGUGCAUUUCUAAUGUUGUUCAGUAUAUGUAGUCCUUCGAUAUGUUUAUAGACAGGAUAUGUUAGUCCUUUGAUUUGCACUUUGUAAAUCUGUAUUGUGAGAUAGAGAUAAAGUAUUCUACUUAAAACACCGAACGCCUACAACUGGGAGGCCGUGCAUUUCAAUACUCACCAGCUAUGGCAGAUUAGCUAUAUAUACAGUAUUAUUUAACUACUUUUGAGUAGUAUAGCUUAGAACAGCUUGAAACGACAAAUGAUAAUAACGUAAUUAAUUUAUUGAUCUUAUAUAAAUGUCAUAUAAAUGGGAGUCACGCCUUGGCUGGACAUUCCAAUAAAGAAAUAUAUACUCUACUCGCUGAUGCAUGAAUGAGUCAGUGAGUUUAUUUUUACAAUGGGCUCAGCAAUAUUCCAGCUAUAUGGCGGGCGUCUGUAAAUAAUUGAGU
This 1728-nucleotide unclassified non-coding RNA is filed under the name Haliotis rubra (blacklip abalone). Its description in RNAcentral is "ras-related protein Rab-1A-like, transcript variant X3". Lineage: Eukaryota; Metazoa; Mollusca; Gastropoda; Lepetellida; Haliotidae. The record is from RNAcentral.